GAAUCUGCCUAUUAGUGGGGGACAACAUUCCGAAAGGAAUGCUAAUACCGCAUACGUCCUACGGGAGAAAGCAGGGGACCUUCGGGCCUUGCGCUAAUAGAUGAGCCUAAGUCGGAUUAGCUAGUUGGUGGGGUAAAGGCCUACCAAGGCGACGAUCUGUAGCGGGUCUGAGAGGAUGAUCCGCCACACUGGGACUGAGACACGGCCCAGACUCCUACGGGAGGCAGCAGUGGGGAAUAUUGGACAAUGGGGGGAACCCUGAUCCAGCCAUGCCGCGUGUGUGAAGAAGGCCUUUUGGUUGUAAAGCACUUUAAGCGAGGAGGAGGCUACUUAGAUUAAUACUCUAGGAUAGUGGACGUUACUCGCAGAAUAAGCACCGGCUAACUCUGUGCCAGCAGCCGCGGUAAUACAGAGGGUGCGAGCGUUAAUCGGAUUUACUGGGCGUAAAGCGUGCGUAGGCGGCUGAUUAAGUCGGAUGUGAAAUCCCUGAGCUUAACUUAGGAAUUGCAUUCGAUACUGGUCAGCUAGAGUAUGGGAGAGGAUGGUAGAAUUCCAGGUGUAGCGGUGAAAUGCGUAGAGAUCUGGAGGAAUACCGAUGGCGAAGGCAGCCAUCUGGCCUAAUACUGACGCUGAGGUACGAAAGCAUGGGGAGCAAACAGGAUUAGAUACCCUGGUAGUCCAUGCCGUAAACGAUGUCUACUAGCCGUUGGGGCCUUUGAGGC
RNAcentral lists this ribosomal RNA (722 nucleotides) under Acinetobacter sp. 19T-11. Its description in RNAcentral is "bacterial SSU rRNA". It matches the Rfam family "Bacterial small subunit ribosomal RNA", at positions 122 to 838 of the family's 1533-position model. The record is from RNAcentral. Lineage: Bacteria; Pseudomonadati; Pseudomonadota; Gammaproteobacteria; Moraxellales; Moraxellaceae.